AUUGAACGCUGGCGGCGUGCCUAACACAUGCAAGUCGAGCGGUAACAGGUGUAGCAAUACAUGCUGACGAGCGGCGAACGGGUGAGUAAUGCUUCGGAAUCUACCCAAUGGUGGGGAAUAACCAGCCGAAAGGUUGGCUAAUACCGCAUACGUCCCACGGGAGAAAGCAGGGGAUCGCAAGACCUUGCGCCAAUGGAUGAGCCGAAGUCGGAUUAGCUAGUUGGAGGGUAACGGCCUACCAAGGCGACGAUCCGUAGCUGGUCUGAGAGGACGACCAGCCACACUGGGACUGAGACACGGCCCAGACUCCUACGGGAGGCAGCAGUGGGGAAUAUUGGACAAGUGGGGGAAACCCUGAUCCAGCGACGCCGCGUGUGUGAAGAAGGCCUGCGGGGUUGUAAAGC
RNAcentral lists this ribosomal RNA (404 nucleotides) under uncultured bacterium. RNAcentral's name for it is "bacterial SSU rRNA". It matches the Rfam family "Bacterial small subunit ribosomal RNA", at positions 29 to 431 of the family's 1533-position model. The record is from RNAcentral.